ACGUAGGGUGCGAGCGUUAAUCGGAAUUACUGGGCGUAAAGCGUGCGCAGGCGGUUUUAUAAGCCAGAUGUGAAAUCCCCGGGCUCAACCUGGGAACUGCAUUUGGAACUGUAAGACUAGAGUGUAGCAGAGGGGGGUAGAAUUCCACGUGUAGCAGUGAAAUGCGUAGAUAUGUGGAGGAAUACCAAUGGCGAAGGCAGCCCCCUGGGUUAACACUGACGCUCAUGCACGAAAGCGUGGGGAGCAAACAGGAUUAGAUACCCUGGUAGUCCACGCCCUAAACGAUGCCAACUAGUUGUUGGGGGAGGAGACUUCCUUAGUAACGCAGCUAACGCGUGAAGUUGACCGCCUGGGGAGUACGGUCGCAAGAUUA
RNAcentral lists this ribosomal RNA (373 nucleotides) under uncultured bacterium. RNAcentral's name for it is "bacterial SSU rRNA". It matches the Rfam family "Bacterial small subunit ribosomal RNA", at positions 525 to 896 of the family's 1533-position model. The record is from RNAcentral.